UACGUAGGGUGCAGGCGUUAAUCGGAAUUACUGGGCGUAAAGCGUGCGCAGGCGGUUGUGCAAGACAGAUGUGAAAUCCCCGGGCUUAACCUGGGAACUGCAUUUGUGACUGCACGGCUAGAGUGCGGCAGAGGGGGAUGGAAUUCCGCGUGUAGCAGUGAAAUGCGUAGAUAUGCGGAGGAACACCGAUGGCGAAGGCAAUCCCCUGGGCCUGCACUGACGCUCAUGCACGAAAGCGUGGGGAGCAAACAGG
Molecule: ribosomal RNA, 253 nt
Filed under: uncultured bacterium
Lineage: Bacteria
Description: partial 16S ribosomal RNA
Rfam family: Bacterial small subunit ribosomal RNA
Source: RNAcentral